AUGGCCUCAAAUUGGGUCCAGGAACCACCAUAUCCACAACUUGAAAGCCACCAAAGUGUGCAGCCUAACCCUCCAUUUUCUUGCCACCAUCUCUCCAGAGGCAUGCAAGGCAAUUUUACAGCUACCAACAUGUCUCAUCACAUGAUGCAUGGCUGGCCACACACCCUUUCAACAUUUUUGCAGCAUCCCGCAUUGGCUGCCACAAAUUUCAUCAAAUUUCUACAUUACAGGCAGCGCCUGAGAUAUAGACACCAGAAGUGGAGUGACUUCACCCUGCUUGCGGAUAGGAAGAGGGGACUCACAUCACACGACUGCCGGGAUAUUGCAGUGGAACAAAGCAAUCACACCAGAAACAAUAGUCAAACAACUGGAAUAUUGGAACUAUUAACAGAUUUUUCAUCAAGGAAAAGAUGCAAUCAAAUAAGGAAGGAAAUGAAAUGCAACAGGAAGAGAUACACAAUAAUGUGUGAUAUAUCCAGCCAAAAUCUCCACUAUCCUGUUGUAAUUGUGAUUUGCCAGCCUUGUGUGAUAAAGCCCCUGGUUACAUGUUCCAGAAAUAUUCUCAGGAGAGAAUACUUCUGGAACAUGGCCAUACAGUCCGGAAAACACACAAUAACCCUGUUAUUUCGGCAAUGA
This 636-nucleotide long non-coding RNA is filed under the name Anolis carolinensis (green anole). Its description in RNAcentral is "lncRNA (ENSACAG00000042599.1)". Lineage: Eukaryota; Metazoa; Chordata; Lepidosauria; Squamata; Anolidae. The record is from RNAcentral.